Molecule: ribosomal RNA, 999 nt
Filed under: uncultured bacterium
Lineage: Bacteria
Also listed under: 1 other name
Description: bacterial SSU rRNA
Rfam family: Bacterial small subunit ribosomal RNA
Source: RNAcentral
GGGGAAUAUUGCACAAUGGAGGAAACUCUGAUGCAGCGAUGCCGCGUGAGGGAAGAAGGUUUUAGGAUUGUAAACCUCUGUCUUCAGGGACGAAAAAAGGACGGUACCUGAGGAGGAAGCUCCGGCUAACUACGUGCCAGCAGCCGCGGUAAUACGUAGGGAGCGAGCGUUGUCCGGAAUUACUGGGUGUAAAGGGAGCGUAGGCGGGAUCGCAAGUCAGAUGUGAAAACUAUGGGCUUAACCCAUAAACUGCAUUUGAAACUGUGGUUCUUGAGUGAAGUAGAGGUAAGCGGAAUUCCUAGUGUAGCGGUGAAAUGCGUAGAUAUUAGGAGGAACAUCAGUGGCGAAGGCGGCUUACUGGGCUUUAACUGACGCUGAGGCUCGAAAGCGUGGGGAGCAAACAGGAUUAGAUACCCUGGUAGUCCACGCCGUAAACGAUGAUUACUAGGUGUGGGGGGACUGACCCCUUCCGUGCCGCAGCAAACGCAAUAAGUAAUCCACCUGGGGAGUACGACCGCAAGGUUGAAACUCAAAGGAAUUGACGGGGGCCCGCACAAGCAGUGGAGUAUGUGGAUUAAUUCGAAGCAACGCGAAGAACCUUACCAGGUCUUGACAUCGUAUGCAUAGCUCAGAGAUGAGUGAAAUUUCUUCGGAGACAUAUAGACAGGUGGUGCAUGGUUGUCGUCAGCUCGUGUCGUGAGAUGUUGGGUUAAGUCCCGCAACGAGCGCAACCCUUACUGUUAGUUGCUACGCAAGAGCACUCUAGCAGGACUGCCGUUGACAAAACGGAGGAAGGUGGGGAUGACGUCAAAUCAUCAUGCCCCUUAUGACCUGGGCCUCACACGUACUACAAUGGCUGUAAACAGAGGGAAGCAAAGCCGCGAGGUAGAGCGAACCCCUAAAAGCAGUCUUAGUUCGGAUUGUAGGCUGCAACCCGCCUACAUGAAGUCGGAAUUGCUAGUAAUCGCAGAUCAGCAUGCUGCGGUGAAUACGUUCCCG